RNAcentral lists this ribosomal RNA (289 nucleotides) under uncultured bacterium. Its description in RNAcentral is "partial 16S ribosomal RNA". It matches the Rfam family "Bacterial small subunit ribosomal RNA", at positions 773 to 1060 of the family's 1533-position model. The record is from RNAcentral.
GUGGAUUAGAUACCCUGGUAGUCCACGCCCUAAACGAUGUCAACUGGUUGUCGGGCCUUCAUUGGCUUGGUAACGUAGCUAACGCGUGAAGUUGACCGCCUGGGGAGUACGGUCGCAAGAUUAAAACUCAAAGGAAUUGACGGGGACCCGCACAAGCGGUGGAUGAUGUGGAUUAAUUCGAUGCAACGCGAAAAACCUUACCUACCCUUGACAUGUAUGGAAUCCUGCCGAGAGGCGGGAGUGCCCGAAAGGGAGCCAUAACACAGGUGCUGCACGGCCGUCGUCAACU